UGUGUCUGUUAGAGUGUGUUUGUGUGUGUCUGUUAGACACACACACACACACACACACACACUCUAACAGACACACA
This is a non-coding RNA of Pelobates cultripes (western spadefoot toad), 77 nucleotides long. NCBI's taxonomy places the organism in Eukaryota, Metazoa, Chordata, Amphibia, Anura, Pelobatidae. The record is from the annotation of a GenBank genome assembly.